This 380-nucleotide ribosomal RNA is filed under the name uncultured bacterium. Its description in RNAcentral is "bacterial SSU rRNA". It matches the Rfam family "Bacterial small subunit ribosomal RNA", at positions 1011 to 1392 of the family's 1533-position model. The record is from RNAcentral.
GGAGUGCCUUCGGGAGCGUGAACACAGGUGGUGCAUGGCUGUCGUCAGCUCGUGUCGUGAGAUGAUGGGUUAAGUCCCGCAACGAGCGCAACCCUCGUUUUUAGUUGCCAGCAUUAAGAUGGGCACUCUAGAGAGACUGCCGGUGACAAACCGGAGGAAGGUGGGGAUGACGUCAAGUCAGCAUGCCCCUUACGUCUUGGGCUACACACGUACUACAAUGCUCCGGACAAAGGGCAGCUACACAGCGAUGUGAUGCGAAUCUCAUAAACCGGAGCUCAGUUCAGAUCGAAGGCUGCAACUCGCCUUCGUGAAGGAGGAAUCGCUAGUAAUUGCAGGUCAGCAUACUGCAGUGAAUUCGUUCCCGGGUCUUGUACACACGA